UUCUAUGGCCGUUGUUGGUGCAUAGCAGCAAUACAAGUUCAGCGUUCAACGGCGAUGGUUUAUAUACAGUUUGCUUACGGAAAUUUAAUUCAGUCUGCUUUAAGCAUUCAAACGGUGAAAUGUGUGUUAGUACGCUAUCAACAUAUAAAUCAGCAAACCGCAAAAUUUAUACAAAAUUCAAACGUCAAACAAACUCAUCAAAAUAUUCAUCAAAAUAGCGGCUGAGGCAUUGAAGCAUCAAAAACCUUUGAUGGCCAGCAUUGCUACAAAAUUACCAAAUAACCAAAGCAUUUAUUGUGAUAUUCUGGAACAACAAAAUGUGAUAUAUGAGUUAUUUAAAGUGUUGAGGACAAGUGCAAGUAAUGUGAUAAUUGAACUAAAAUGCAAUAAGAGACCUUUAAAAAUAAUGUGAUAAAUGAACUGAAAUAUAUUAAAACACUGUUAGAAAUGAUAAAAACAGUGCAAAG
This is a long non-coding RNA of Teleopsis dalmanni, 467 nucleotides long. RefSeq lists it as uncharacterized. The record is from RefSeq and is a predicted model, not a curated record. NCBI's taxonomy places the organism in Eukaryota, Metazoa, Arthropoda, Insecta, Diptera, Diopsidae. The transcript has 3 exons.